RNAcentral lists this long non-coding RNA (1253 nucleotides) under Phoenix dactylifera (date palm). Its description in RNAcentral is "long non-coding RNA (PDAC_LNC014745)". Lineage: Eukaryota; Viridiplantae; Streptophyta; Magnoliopsida; Arecales; Arecaceae. The record is from RNAcentral.
AAAUCUUUAAGGGUUCGCGAGGAUUCACCAUUAGCUCUUCACCAUUAGACACUCCAGCUCCGGGAUUCGAGGCCAAGGGUUGCGUUGGUUCGAUCUCGACAUCUUGAGUCAAAGGUUUCUUGCUGUUAUAAAGAAUCCGAAGGUAGAUUUAUUUAAUGAUCGCCCUUAUGCUUUUUUUCUUUGGUAAUUUGUUUCUUAGCAUCAGCAUUGCAUUCCCCUGUUGCUGGUGCAUAUAUUUUUUCUUGUGUAUCCUGAGAUGAAGAUAGAAAAUUGUUUGCUUCUCUAUGAGAAGAACUGCAUUAUAGAUGUUGCUUCCUGCUAAUUUAUAGAAGAGUCAUGUAUUUUUAAAUUGAACUAUUUUGUAAUGUAUUCCCAUUACCUUUUCUCUGCUUGUGUUGGUUUUGGAUACACAAGAACCAAAAAGAAAAAUCUCAUUGCAAUCCUCUUGUGCUUCCUUGUUUGCACAAAUAGGUUAUGUAAGUUGCACAGUUAAAAUUUUCAAUUGUUUGUUAUCAUGUUAAAGUGGUGACCCAAUCAAUUGAACUUGUCAUUUAGAUUGUUUUGGAAAUUUUUAGUUUCUGAUGUAAUUUUGAUAUUUCUAUGCAUAGUUGAUGUUUUGUAGUAUUUUAGUGAAUCUUCGGUACAAAAGUUUGAUUAGUAAUUUUGCAUCUCAAAAAGCUUGACGAAUUAGGUUUAAAUAAAAUUUUCAAAUAUUUUAUACUUAUUAAAAAAAUUAUUAUUUUAAAAAAAGAUCUCUCUUGAUGAUUUUGCCCUAGGCUCCCAAAUGCAAUGGGUCGCCCCUGAUCGAAGUUAUGUUGGACCAGAGACCGAAUACCUUUUCAAAGGGGACAAAUGAUUUCAACAAUCUGGUAUCUACAAAUAUUUCUUGCGAUCAUACACCUUGGCCUAAUCUACUUGCAUAAAUUGUGGUUCUCCAACAUGACAAGCGAACAAGGUCAGCUAAAUUCAGUUACCAUAAGGCAUAUUGAUGGCUGGAUGCUUCACAAGCGUGCAGAGCGUUGAUUGAAGGCACACUACUUGCCAAACUCGAGGAUUAUUCUUCUUUUGUGGGCCUCCUAAGUAAGAUUGUGUCAACCAUGUGUAAGGGCCCAUAUUUUUUUGGGGGGCUGGGAUGGCCCGACACACAUGAAACGGGAGGGAGACUCCCGAACAAUGUCUUCCCUCCCCUGUUUCAACUCCUCUCCGAAUCCAUCGGAAGGAAGGAAAAAAUAAAUAAACAGAGGAAAAACUGG